RNAcentral lists this ribosomal RNA (256 nucleotides) under uncultured bacterium. RNAcentral describes it as "partial 16S ribosomal RNA". It matches the Rfam family "Bacterial small subunit ribosomal RNA", at positions 524 to 776 of the family's 1533-position model. The record is from RNAcentral.
UACAGAGGUCUCAAGCGUUUGUUCGGAUUCAUUGGGCGUAAAGGGUGCGUAGGUGGCGGGGUAAGUCAGGUGUGAAAUCUCGGAGCUCAACUCCGAAACUGCACUUGAUACUGCCUUGCUCGAGUACUGGAGAGGAGAUUGGAAUUUACGGUGUAGCAGUGAAAUGCGUAGAUAUCGUAAGGAAGACCAGUGGCGAAAUGGCGAAUCUCUGGACAGUUACUGACACUGAGGCACGAAGGCCAGGGGAGCAAACGGG